UAAGACGAAGGAUGCAAGCGUUAUCCGGAUUCAUUGGGUUUAAAGGGAGCGUAGGUGGGUUUGUAAGUCAGUGGUGAAAGCCGGUCGCUUAACGAUCGAAUUGCCAUUGAUACUGCAGACCUUGAGUACAGAUGCUGUGGGCGGAAUAUGACAUGUAGUGGUGAAAUACAUAGAGAUGUCAUAGAACACCGAUUGCGAAGGCAGCUCACAAAACUGUAACUGACACUGAGGCUCGAAAGUGCGGGGAUCAAACAGGAUUAGAUACCCUGGUAGUCCGCACUGUAAACGAUGAUUACUCGCUGCUGGGAGGUAACUUUCAGUGGCUGAGCGAAAGCGAUAAGUAAUCCACCUGGGGAGUACGCCGGCAACGGUGAAACUUAAAUGAAUUGACGG
This 393-nucleotide ribosomal RNA is filed under the name uncultured bacterium. RNAcentral's name for it is "bacterial SSU rRNA". It matches the Rfam family "Bacterial small subunit ribosomal RNA", at positions 521 to 916 of the family's 1533-position model. The record is from RNAcentral.